This 676-nucleotide ribosomal RNA is filed under the name uncultured fungus. Its description in RNAcentral is "eukaryotic LSU rRNA". The stretch from base 254 to 407 matches the Rfam family "5.8S ribosomal RNA". The record is from RNAcentral. Lineage: Eukaryota; Fungi.
AGUAAAAGUCGUAACAAGGUUUCCGUAGGUGAACCUGCGGAAGGAUCAUUAUCGAAUAAACUGGGUGGGUUGUUGCUGUCCCUCUCGGGGGAACUGUGCACGCCUUACCUUUUUUGUUUUUCCACCUGUGAACACACUGUAGGUCUGUAGGGAAGGGAAGCAAUUCCUUGACGUUCAGGUCCUAUGCUUAUACAUAUACACUAUUGAAAGUAACAGAACGAUUCAAUGGGCUCUAAGCCUAUAAACUAUAUACAACUUUCAGCAACGGAUCUCUUGGCUCUCGCAUCGAUGAAGAACGCAGCGAAAUGCGAUAAGUAAUGUGAAUUGCAGAAUUCAGUGAAUCAUCGAAUCUUUGAACGCACCUUGCGCUCUUUGGUAUUCCGAAGAGCAUGCCUGUUUGAGUGUCAUUAAAUUCUCAACCUCAUCGCUUUUGUGAUGAUGGCUUGGAUGUGGAGGUUUCUGCAGGCCGAAAGGUCUGCUCCUCUCAAAUGAAUUAGUGGGUGCCCCGCGCAAACCUAUCUAUUGGUGUGAUAAUUAUCUACGCCGUGGUCUAGGAUUGCUGUAAAAAGGUGUUUGCCCUGCUUCUAACCGUCCAUUGACUUGGACAACUUGAACCAUUUGACCUCAAAUCAGGUAGGACUACCCGCUGAACUUAAGCAUAUCAAUAAGCGGAGGA